Molecule: ribosomal RNA, 160 nt
Filed under: Cytospora desmazieri
Lineage: Eukaryota; Fungi; Ascomycota; Sordariomycetes; Diaporthales; Cytosporaceae
Description: Valsa pini 5.8S ribosomal RNA
Rfam family: 5.8S ribosomal RNA
About the family: 5.8S ribosomal RNA (5.8S rRNA) is a component of the large subunit of the eukaryotic ribosome. It is transcribed by RNA polymerase I as part of the 45S precursor that also contains 18S and 28S rRNA.
Source: RNAcentral
CAAAACUUUCAACAACGGAUCUCUUAGUUCUGGCAUCGAUGAAGAACGCAGCGAAAUGCGAUAAGUAAUGUGAAUUGCAGAAUUCAGUGAAUCAUCGAAUCUUUGAACGCACAUUGCGCCCUCUGGUAUUCCAGAGGGCAUGCCUGUUCGAGCGUCAUUU